AUUAGUUAAGUGAAGAAGGGCGCACGGUGGAUGCCUUGGCACUAGGAGCCGAUGAAGGACGGGACUAACACCGAUAUGCUUCGGGGAGCUGUAAGUAAGCUUUGAUCCGGAGAUUUCCGAAUGGGGGAACCCACUAUUCGUUAUUGGAUAGUACCUAUCACUGAAUACAUAGGUGAUAGGAGGCAGACCCGGGGAACUGAAACAUCUCAUUACCCGGAGGAAGAGAAAGAAAAAUCGAUUUCCUGAGUAGCGGCGAGCGAAACGGAAUUAGCCCAAACCAGAAGGCUUGCCUUCUGGGGUUGUAGGACACUCCUUUGGAGUUACAAAGAAACCAUGUAAAUGAAGCGGCUUGGAAUGGCCCGCCAUAGAAGGUAAGAGCCCUGUAUUUGAAAUGUGGUUUCCUCCGGAGUGUAUCCUGAGUACGGCGGAACACGUGAAAUUCCGUCGGAAUCCGGGAGGACCAUCUCCCAAGGCUAAAUACUCCCUAGUGACCGAUAGUGAACCAGUACCGUGAGGGAAAGGUGAAAAGCACCCCGGAAGGGGAGUGAAAUAGAACCUGAAACCGUGUGCCUACAAGUAGUCGAAGCCCGUUAAUGGGUGACGGCGUACCUUUUGUAGAAUGGACCGGCGAGUUACGAUCCCCUGCAAGGUUAAGUUGUAUAGACGGAGCCGCAGCGAAAGCGAGUCUGAAUAGGGCGAUAUAGUAGGUGGUCGUAGACCCGAAACCGUGUGAUCUACCCAUGUCCAGGGUGAAGGUCAGGUAACACUGACUGGAGGCCCGAACCCACGCACGUUGAAAAGUGCGGGGAUGAGGUGUGGGUAGGGGUGAAAUGCCAAUCGAACACGGAGAUAGCUGGUUCUCUCCGAAAUAGCUUUAGGGCUAGCCUCAAAGGAUGAUGGUUGGAGGUAGAGCACUGAUUGGACUAGGGGCCCUCAUCGGGUUACCGAAUUCAGUCAAACUCCGAAUGCCAAUCAAUCUACUUUGGGAGUCAGACCAUGGGUGAUAAGGUUCAUGGUCGAAAGGGAAACAGCCCAGACCGCCAGCUAAGGUCCCAAAGUGUGUGUUAAGUGGAAAAGGAUGUGGCGUUGCUUAGACAACCAGGAUGUUGGCUUAGAAGCAGCCAUCAUUUAAAGAGUGCGUAAUAGCUCACUGGUCGAGUGACGCUGCGCCGAAAAUAUACCGGGGCUAAACACACCACCGAAGCUGCGGAUUGACAUCUACGAUGUCAGUGGUAGGAGAGCGUUCUAAGGGCAGUGAAGGUCGAUCGUGAGGACGGCUGGAGCGCUUAGAAGUGAGAAUGCCGGUAUGAGUAGCGAAAAAAGAGUGAGAAUCUCUUUCAUCGAAAGCCCAAGGUUUCCUGAGGAAGGCUCGUCCGCUCAGGGUUAGUCGGGGCCUAAGCCGAGGCCGAAAGGCGUAGGCGAUGGACAACAGGUUGAUAUUCCUGUACCACCUAAAUCCGCUUGAACGAUGGGGGGACGCAGGAGGAUAAGGAAAGCGCGCUGCUGGUUAUGCGCGUCCAAGCCGUGAGGAAGUUGAGCAGGCAAAUCCACUCAACAAUAUUCCAGGCGGUUAUGGGGAGGGAAAUUUAGUACCGAAGUUCCUGAUUUCACACUGCCAAGAAAAGCCUCUAGUGAGGAAAUAGGUGCCCGUACCGCAAACCGACACAGGUAGGCACGGUGAGUAACCGAAGAUGAUCGGGAGAACUCUCGUUAAGGAACUCGGCAAAAUGACCCCGUAACUUCGGGAGAAGGGGUGCUUCUUUUUAGGAGAAGCCGCAGUGAAAAGGCCCAAGCGACUGUUUAGCAAAAACACAGGUCUCUGCAAAGCCGUAAGGCGAAGUAUAGGGGCUGACACCUGCCCGGUGCUGGAAGGUUAAGGGGAAUGGUUAGGGACUUCGUCCCGAAGCUGUGAACCGAAGCCCCAGUAAACGGCGGCCGUAACUAUAACGGUCCUAAGGUAGCGAAAUUCCUUGUCGGGUAAGUUCCGACCCGCACGAAAGGUGCAACGACUUGGGCACUGUCUCAACGAGAGACCCGGUGAAAUUAUACUAUGCGUGAAGAUGCGCAUUACCCGCGACAGGACGGAAAGACCCCGUGGAGCUUUACUGUAGCCUGAUAUGGAAUGUUGGUACAGCUUGUACAGGAUAGGUGGGAGCCUUAGAAGCCGGAGCGCUAGCUUCGGUGGAGGCAUCCGUGGGAUACCACCCUGGCUGUAUUGACAUUCUAACC
RNAcentral lists this ribosomal RNA (2229 nucleotides) under Terribacillus aidingensis. RNAcentral's name for it is "bacterial LSU rRNA". It matches the Rfam family "Bacterial large subunit ribosomal RNA", at positions 1 to 2227 of the family's 2925-position model. The record is from RNAcentral. Lineage: Bacteria; Bacillati; Bacillota; Bacilli; Caryophanales; Bacillaceae.